Molecule: long non-coding RNA, 556 nt
Organism: Bos taurus (domestic cattle)
Lineage: Eukaryota; Metazoa; Chordata; Mammalia; Artiodactyla; Bovidae
Source: Ensembl
UACAGAUGGGAAAAUUGAGGCUCAGACAGAGGAAUGGUUUGCCUUGCCCAGGAUCCUCCACCUAGUGAGUGGAGAGCAGGUUUUCAUUUGUCAUAUGAAAGGGUCCCCCAUUUAACACUUGCUGGUUCAGUCCACCCAAGGGACUCCCAGCCUGGCCAGAAGCUCCCCUCACAGCCUGCUUUCCCCUCAAGCUGUUCCCUUAAAGUGACUGGCAACAAUGGAUCCUUUCUAUUCACGAAUUCCCGGGCCUGUAUUGGGGCUGUGGUGGGCUCCUAGGUGCUUCUCUGCGCUUUCCAAAUGGUGACAAUGAUGUGAACCCCUGCGGCAUAAGAAAGCCUCCUUUGGAGACAGCGCACUAUUCAGAGCAGCCCAUGAUCCCUCCACGGUUCCCUGCCAGGAAGGAAGCCUCAGGCUGCCCUCUAGUGGCAGGCAGGGUUGUGCAGACCCAGUGAAACUGGCAAACAAGGGAACCAGAGAAGCAAGCUUCACUUAGCACGUGGUGGAGGCUCUCUGGAAGUCGGAGGGAGAAAAUACAUUCUGGUUCUCUCUCUGCUGU